Molecule: ribosomal RNA, 207 nt
Filed under: uncultured bacterium
Lineage: Bacteria
Description: partial 16S ribosomal RNA
Rfam family: Bacterial small subunit ribosomal RNA
Source: RNAcentral
UGCGCAGGCGGUCUUGUAAGACAGGUGUGAAAUCCCCGGGCUUAACCUGGGAACUGCACUUGUGACUGCAAGGCUGGAGUACGGCAGAGGGGGAUGGAAUUCCGCGUGUAGCAGUGAAAUGCGUAGAUAUGCGGAGGAACACCGAUGGCGAAGGCAAUCCCCUGGGCCUGUACUGACGCUCAUGCACGAAAGCGUGGGGAGCAAACA